AGGACUGGAUGUCGGGCUGCAUGUGAAUGUUUGUGGGUGCAGCAAGGCCAUGCAGCUCUGC
Molecule: non-coding RNA, 61 nt
Filed under: Homo sapiens (human)
Lineage: Eukaryota; Metazoa; Chordata; Mammalia; Primates; Hominidae
Source: RNAcentral